RNAcentral lists this ribosomal RNA (253 nucleotides) under uncultured bacterium. RNAcentral describes it as "partial 16S ribosomal RNA". It matches the Rfam family "Bacterial small subunit ribosomal RNA", at positions 524 to 776 of the family's 1533-position model. The record is from RNAcentral.
UACGUAGGUGGCAAGCGUUGUCCGGAUUUACUGGGCGUAAAGGGCUCGUAGGCGGCCAACUAAGUCAGACGUGAAAUCCCCAGGCUUAACCUGGGAACUGCGUCUGAUACUGGAUGGCUUGAAUUCGGGAGAGGGAUGCAGAAUUCCAGGUGUAGCGGUGAAAUGCGUAGAUAUCUGGAGGAAUACCGGUGGCGAAGGCGGCAUCCUGGACCGAGAUUGACGCUGAUGAGCGAAAGCUAGGGGAGCAAACGGG